This 781-nucleotide ribosomal RNA is filed under the name uncultured Neocallimastigales. Its description in RNAcentral is "partial large subunit ribosomal RNA". It matches the Rfam family "Eukaryotic large subunit ribosomal RNA", at positions 23 to 635 of the family's 3401-position model. The record is from RNAcentral. Lineage: Eukaryota; Fungi; Neocallimastigomycota; Neocallimastigomycetes; Neocallimastigales.
AGAGAGAGACAUGCGCGCAUAUCAAUAAGCGGAGGAAAAGAAACUAACAAGGAUUCCCUUAGUAACGGCGAGUGAAGCGGGAAGAGCUCAAAUUUGAAAUCUUCAAGGUUUUACCUUGACGAAUUGUAGUUUAAAGAAGUGUUUUCUGCUGAAGUUUUGGUAAAAGUUCUUUGGAAUAGGACAUCAUAGAGGGUGAGAAUCCCGUAUUUGACCAUUAUUUUCAGCUUUGUGAUACACUUUCAAAGAGUCGGAUUGUUUGGGAAUGCAGUCCAAAAUGGGUGGUAAAUUUCAUCUAAAGCUAAAUAUUGGCGAGAGACCGAUAGCGAACAAGUACCGUGAGGGAAAGAUGAAAAGAACUUUGAAAAGAGAGUUAAACAGUACGUGAAAUUGUCAAAAGGGAAGCGUUUGACACCAGUGUUGUUUUCUCGAAAAUCAAUUAAAAAUGGCUUAGAUUUUGUAUUGUAUUGAGACCUUAAUAAGCUUCACUGCUACAUCUUUUCGUGUCUUUUUUAAUGCACUUUUCGUUUAACAAGUCAACAUCAGUUUCUUUUGUUGUAAAAGGGUCAUUGGAAGGUGGCUUUCUUUUCGGAGAAAGUGUUUAUAGCCUUUGGCCUCUGCAAUCGGAGAGACUGAGGUCUGCAGCGUAGACUCUUCGGGGUUAGAUACAUUUGUGCUAAGUUAUAGCUUUUUAUAGACAACUUGUUGACUAUAAUUAGUCUUGUAGCUUACUCGCUUAUGCUAUUUUACCUACGCUUAGGAUGUUGAAGAUGUAGCACAUCAU